CCACCGAAAGGUGGUCUAAUACUUCAUAAUAUCCAUCUCGUAUGGAUUAAAGCUUUAUGCGCUUUGGGAGGGGCCUGCGUAACAUUAGCUUGUUGGUGAGGUAAAAGCUCACCAAGGCUUCGAUGUUUAACUGGUUUGAGAGGAUGACCAGUCACACUGGGACUGAGAUACGGCCCAGACUCCUACGGGAGGCAGCAGUAAGGAAUCUUCCACAAUGGGGGCAACCCUGAUGGAGCAAUACCGCGUGCAGGAUGAAGCGUUUCGGCGUGUAAACUGCUUUUAUCACCGAAGAUUAUGACUGUAGGUGAAGAAUAAGGACCGGCUAACUACGUG
Molecule: ribosomal RNA, 333 nt
Filed under: uncultured bacterium
Lineage: Bacteria
Description: bacterial SSU rRNA
Rfam family: Bacterial small subunit ribosomal RNA
Source: RNAcentral